This 439-nucleotide ribosomal RNA is filed under the name uncultured bacterium. Its description in RNAcentral is "bacterial SSU rRNA". It matches the Rfam family "Bacterial small subunit ribosomal RNA", at positions 338 to 794 of the family's 1533-position model. The record is from RNAcentral.
CCUACGGGAGGCAGCAGUGGGGAAUAUUGCACAAUGGGGGAAACCCUGAUGCAGCGACGCCGCGUGGACGAUGAAGUAUUUCGGUACGUAAAGUCCUGUCAGCAGGGAAGAAAACGACAGUACCUGACCAAGAAGCCCCGGCUAACUACGUGCCAGCAGCCGCGGUAAUACGUAGGGGGCGAGCGUUAUCCGGAUUCACUGGGCGUAAAGGGAGCGCAGGCGGCACGGCAAGUCCGGUGUGAAAGCCCGGGGCCCAACCCCGGGACUGCACUGGAAACUGCCGGGCUGGAGUGCCGGAGGGGUAAGCGGAAUUCCUGGUGUAGCGGUGAAAUGCGCAGAUAUCAGGAGGAACACCAGUGGCGGAGGCGGCUUACUGGACGGUCACUGACGCUGAGGCUCGAAAGCGUGGGGAGCAAACAGGAUUAGAUACCCUAGUAGU